Molecule: ribosomal RNA, 557 nt
Filed under: uncultured bacterium
Lineage: Bacteria
Description: bacterial SSU rRNA
Rfam family: Bacterial small subunit ribosomal RNA
Source: RNAcentral
UAGGGAAUCUUCGGCAAUGGACGGAAGUCUGACCGAGCAACGCCGCGUGAGUGAAGAAGGUUUUCGGAUCGUAAAGCUCUGUUGUAAGAGAAGAACGAGUGUGAGAGUGGAAAGUUCACACUGUGACGGUAUCUUACCAGAAAGGGACGGCUAACUACGUGCCAGCAGCCGCGGUAAUACGUAGGUCCCGAGCGUUGUCCGGAUUUAUUGGGCGUAAAGCGAGCGCAGGCGGUUAGAUAAGUCUGAAGUUAAAGGCUGUGGCUUAACCAUAGUAGGCUUUGGAAACUGUUUAACUUGAGUGCAAGAGGGGAGAGUGGAAUUCCAUGUGUAGCGGUGAAAUGCGUAGAUAUAUGGAGGAACACCGGUGGCGAAAGCGGCUCUCUGGCUUGUAACUGACGCUGAGGCUCGAAAAGCGUGGGGGAGCAAACAGGAUUAGAUACCCUGGUAGUCCACGCUGUAAACGAUGAGUGCUAGGUGUUAGACCCUUUCCCGGGGUUUAGUGCCGUAGCUAACGCAUUAAGGCACUCCGCCUGGGGGAGUAACGACCGCANGGUUGG